CUUUUUUAUCUUGCCUGGCAUAUGGAAAACAUGGAAUUACUGCAGUGACUCUGGAGGAUGAUGCAAUCUUGCAAGCAUUGAUCAUGAUGAGCAGUUCCAUUAAGUUGUCAUUUAUUUCUCCACAGCCACUCUGGAUAAUAUACACAUCUUCUCCUCUCACACUUUCACCAAUCUCUACACUGGUCUCCUGGUUGCUGAACUUCUUGGU
RNAcentral lists this long non-coding RNA (208 nucleotides) under Gallus gallus (chicken). Lineage: Eukaryota; Metazoa; Chordata; Aves; Galliformes; Phasianidae. The record is from RNAcentral.